This 252-nucleotide ribosomal RNA is filed under the name uncultured bacterium. Its description in RNAcentral is "partial 16S ribosomal RNA". It matches the Rfam family "Bacterial small subunit ribosomal RNA", at positions 525 to 776 of the family's 1533-position model. The record is from RNAcentral.
ACGGAGGGUGCAAGCGUUAUCCGGAAUCAUUGGGUUUAAAGGGUCCGCAGGCGGAUUUAUAAGUCAGUGGUGAAAGCCUACAGCUUAACUGUAGAACUGCCAUUGAUACUGUAAGUCUUGAAUUCGGUCGAAGUGGGCGGAAUGUGUAGUGUAGCGGUGAAAUGCAUAGAUAUUACACAGAACACCGAUAGCGAAGGCAGCUCACUAGGCCUGGAUUGACGCUCAGGGACGAAAGCGUGGGGAGCAAACAGG